RNAcentral lists this long non-coding RNA (352 nucleotides) under Hordeum vulgare. Its description in RNAcentral is "long non-coding RNA (HVUL_LNC017768)". The record is from RNAcentral. Lineage: Eukaryota; Viridiplantae; Streptophyta; Magnoliopsida; Poales; Poaceae.
UAUAUAUAUAGCGGAGCGAAAGCCUAUUUCGAAAGGGAUGGAAUGAACCCCCAAGUUAAAAUAUUGAUCGUUUACAUCCUGAACGUCGCACCUCCACACAACUGAGCCGGCCCACGCCGUCCAAGCGUCCCACGGAGGAGGGGGAGAAGAACCCCGUCGCCGUUGAUGCACACGUGGGCUUUGCCCGGUGGCACUCUUUGGAAGCGGUGAGGGGGGAGGGCAACGGAGUGGGUUCCGGUGGCGGCGCCUAGGGUUGCCCCGGGCCGCUCGCGGGAGCGGCAUGGGGUGUUCAGAAUCACGAUUUGGUUGGCAUUUUCCAGAAGCUAUCUUUAAAGGAGACCAAUUUCAUUAC